Molecule: non-coding RNA, 18 nt
Filed under: Mus musculus (house mouse)
Lineage: Eukaryota; Metazoa; Chordata; Mammalia; Rodentia; Muridae
Source: RNAcentral
UGACAGUUCGCAGGAGGA